Molecule: transfer RNA, 74 nt
Filed under: Pteropus alecto (black flying fox)
Lineage: Eukaryota; Metazoa; Chordata; Mammalia; Chiroptera; Pteropodidae
Rfam family: tRNA
About the family: Transfer RNA (tRNA) molecules are approximately 80 nucleotides in length. Their secondary structure includes four short double-helical elements and three loops (D, anti-codon, and T loops). Further hydrogen bonds mediate the characteristic L-shaped molecular structure. tRNAs have two regions of fundamental functional importance: the anti-codon, which is responsible for specific mRNA codon recognition, and the 3' end, to which the tRNAs corresponding amino acid is attached (by aminoacyl-tRNA synthetases). tRNAs cope with the degeneracy of the genetic code in two manners: having more than one tRNA (with a specific anti-codon) for a particular amino acid; and 'wobble' base-pairing, i.e. permitting non-standard base-pairing at the 3rd anti-codon position.
Source: Rfam by way of RNAcentral
GGCUCCACAGUGUAGUGGUUAACACAUCUGCUUUACAUGCAGAAGGUUCGGGGUUCACGCCCCUGGUGGAGUCA